Molecule: unclassified non-coding RNA, 313 nt
Filed under: Hevea brasiliensis (rubber tree)
Lineage: Eukaryota; Viridiplantae; Streptophyta; Magnoliopsida; Malpighiales; Euphorbiaceae
Source: RNAcentral
AGGGAAACAAGUCAUCAAUUAUGUGAAAAAUAGCGUCACUCCCACAGCAACCAUCACGUUCCAAGAGACGUAUCUAGAUACAAAGCCAGCACCAGUUGUUGCUGCAUCCUCAGCACGAGGCCCCUCCAGAAGUUACUUGGGAAUUUCAAAGCCAGAUAUAUUGGCACCAGGGGUGCUGAUUCUUGCAGCAUAUCCACCAAAUGUAUUUGCUACAAGUAUUGGGACAAACAUACUAUUGUCCACUGAUUACAUUCUUGAAUCAGGUACAUCCAUGGCUGCACCACAUGCUGCUGGAAUUGCAGCAAUGCUAAAA